GAGCCGCAUGGCAUAGUGGUUAAGUGUUUGCACUGCCACUCACACGGUCAGGAGUUCGAGCCCCCUGUGGGUCA
This 74-nucleotide transfer RNA is filed under the name Sphaerodactylus townsendi. RNAcentral's name for it is "tRNA-Gly". The record is from RNAcentral. Lineage: Eukaryota; Metazoa; Chordata; Lepidosauria; Squamata; Sphaerodactylidae.